This 954-nucleotide unclassified non-coding RNA is filed under the name Hevea brasiliensis (rubber tree). The record is from RNAcentral. Lineage: Eukaryota; Viridiplantae; Streptophyta; Magnoliopsida; Malpighiales; Euphorbiaceae.
UCAAUUUUUGCAGGCUUACUAUCCAGAGCGUCUGGCGAAGUUCUUCAUUUUAAAUAUGCCACGAUUCUUCAUCAGUGUUUGGAAGAUGAUUUCUCGAUUCCUAGAGAAAGCAACACUGGAAAAGAUUGUGAUUGUUAGCAAAGAAGAAGAAAGAACAACUCUUAUUAAGGAAAUUGGUGACGAAGUCUUACCAGAAGAGUAUGGUGGUCGAGCCAAUCUUGUAGCUCUCCAAGAUGUUACACUGCCCUUAUUAGAGGAUUGAUCCUAAAAUAGAUCAAAAGGGAGGCUGCAAAUGUUGCCUCUAUAAAAGGAUUGAUACUAACACAGGUUAAAAAGGUGGCUGCUACAGAGUGCAAUUCUUUUGCCCAUCUGAUAAGAUCUAUGAUAGGAGGUAAUCUUCGCCCUUUUCAUAACCCCUCCUAAUAAGCUGCAUAACAGAGUACUUCUUACUGUAACUCCCCUGUCCACAUCUAGUGGGACUCGAAUUUAAGAUCUCUUGGUGGACUUCCCAAUCCCAAAUACUCAGUACUGGAUUUUCCAUAUGAGAAUGGCAGAGUUCAUAGUCAUUCUAUGCAUGAAUGAAAUAAUUAUUGGCAAUAUCAGGGUUAAUUCUAAUUUAAAUACAUUUUCAUCAAUGGUGACUAGCUAAUGUUGUGCUGCUUUUGCAAGUUCCCUUCUCAAAGAAAUUUUGGAAAGAGAAUUUGCAAUUGUGUGGUCUCAGUUUAUUAUGAUAGUAUCUCAAAGACAUUUGGAUGAGAUGUUGCUGGUGUGUUUCAAAGUAAAACAGGCACUGCAUUCCAAUCUCAUUUUAACUUUGAAAUUAUACUCAACUAGACAAUUGUCUGAGCAUUGCGUGGAUUUUUUUUAAUUCCUUAAAUUAUUAUUGUAUAAAAUCAGGAGAUGUCAUUUUAUUUCUGAUUGUAUUUAUAACAAGGCUCUUGCCUGCAUGUUGCG